AGUGAACGCUGGCGGCAGGCCUAAUACAUGCAAGUCGAACGGCAGCACAGCAGAGCUUGCUCUGUGGGUGGCGAGUGGCGGACGGGUGAGGAAUACAUGGGAAUCUGCCCAGUCGUGGGGGAUAACGUAUGGAAACGUACGCUAAUACCGCAUGCGCCCUAAGGGGGAAAGCCGGGGACCGCAAGGCCUGGCGCGAUUGGAUGAGCCCAUGUUCGAUUAGCUAGUUGGCGGGGUAAAGGCCCACCAAGGCGACGAUCGAUAGCUGGUCUGAGAGGAUGAUCAGCCACACUGGAACUGAGACACGGUCCAGACUCCUACGGGAGGCAGCAGUAGGGGAAUAUUGGACAAUGGGGGCGAACCCUCGAUCCAGCCAUGCCGCGUGAGU
RNAcentral lists this ribosomal RNA (385 nucleotides) under uncultured bacterium. RNAcentral's name for it is "bacterial SSU rRNA". It matches the Rfam family "Bacterial small subunit ribosomal RNA", at positions 30 to 406 of the family's 1533-position model. The record is from RNAcentral.